UACGUAGGGCGCAAGCGUUGUCCGGAAUUAUUGGGCGUAAAGAGCUCGUAGGCGGCUUGUCACGUCGAUUGUGAAAGCCCGAGGCUUAACCUCGGGUCUGCAGUCGAUACGGGCUAGCUAGAGUGUGGUAGGGGAGAUCGAAUUCCUGGUGUAGCGGUGAAAUGCGCAGAUAUCAGGAGGAACACCGGUGGCGAAGGCGGAUCUCUGGGCCAUUACUGACGCUGAGGAGCGAAAGCGUGGGGAGCGAACAGG
Molecule: ribosomal RNA, 252 nt
Filed under: uncultured bacterium
Lineage: Bacteria
Description: partial 16S ribosomal RNA
Rfam family: Bacterial small subunit ribosomal RNA
Source: RNAcentral